AUGGCUGUCGUCAGCUCGUGUCGUGAGAUGUUGGGUUAAGUCCCGCAACGAGCGCAACCCUUGUCCUUAGUUGCCAGCAUUUAGUUGGGCACUCUAAGGAGACCGCCGGUGACAAACCGGAGGAAGGUGGGGAUGACGUCAAGUCAUCAUGGCCUUUAUGGCCAGGGCUACACACGUGCUACAAUGGUAGAAACAGAGGGAAGCCAACGCGCGAGCGGGAGCCAAUCCCAGAAAAUCUAUCUUAGUCCGGAUUGGAGUCUGCAACUCGACUCCAUGAAGUCGGAAUCGCUAGUAAUCGCAGAUCAGCAUUGCUGCGGUGAAUACGUUCCCGGGUCUUGUACACACCGCCCGUCACACCAUGGAAGUUUACUGCACCAGAAGCAGGUAGCCUGACCGCAAGGGGGGCGCCUACCACGGUGUGGUCAAUGACUGGGGUGAAGUCGUAACAAGGUAGCCGUACGGGAACGUGCGGCUGGAUCACCUCCUUUCAAGAGAACCGCACCAUUGUUCGAAGGCGCGAGUUCCCAGCACAAAUUAUCUGCCUGACACACACGGGGCGGCGGCCCAUCGGCGCGAUGACUAAACAGGUGCCAGUAGCAAUGCUGGCGCAGUAGGGCUGCGGAAGUUUGGGUCUGUAGCUCAGUUAGUUAGAGCGCACCCCUGAUAAGGGUGAGGUCGGGGGUGCAACUCCUCCCAGACCCACCAGUUCAUCGGGGAGGGGCCAUAGCUCAGCUGGGAGAGCGCCUGGUUUGCAACCAGGAGGUCGCCGGUUCGAUCCCGGCUGGCUCCACCAGCUCUUGUUACCUGCCCCGUAAAGCAGCGACGCGUGAUGACGCGAGCUCAUGCGGACCAACAUCAAACGGUUCCAACAUGUGCUGGCGUGAUCGCGCGAAUUCCGUGUGGUCUGAAGGUGAUGCCUAGCGCAUCACUUGCUCUUUAACAAUCUGGAAAGUUUUUGUUUUGACGCUAAGUUUUCAAGCGAAAGUGAUUUGAUUUGAUGAUUUGUUUCUUUGACUCAAGCUUGAGAAUGUCGCGUUCGCAAUGUGAAUCAGCUAGCAAUGUAACACCCAAACUUCUUGGGGUUAUAUGGUCAAGUGAAUAAGCGCACAUGGUGGAUGCCUUGGCGGUAGAAGGCGAUGAAGGACGUGGUAGCCUGCGAUAAGUGUCGGCGAGCUGGCAAACAAGCUUUGACCCGGCAAUUUCCGAAUGGGGAAACCCGG
This 1220-nucleotide small RNA is filed under the name uncultured Pseudomonadales bacterium. Its description in RNAcentral is "bacterial SSU rRNA". The stretch from base 1 to 488 matches the Rfam family "Bacterial small subunit ribosomal RNA", at positions 1045 to 1533 of the family's 1533-position model. Lineage: Bacteria; Pseudomonadati; Pseudomonadota; Gammaproteobacteria; Pseudomonadales. The record is from RNAcentral.